This is a long non-coding RNA of Drosophila rhopaloa, 134 nucleotides long. RefSeq lists it as uncharacterized. NCBI's taxonomy places the organism in Eukaryota, Metazoa, Arthropoda, Insecta, Diptera, Drosophilidae. The transcript is spliced from 2 exons. The record is from RefSeq and is a predicted model, not a curated record.
GAAAUUAGUUAAGUAGUGUUUGUGCCGAAUUGAAGAAAAAUGGCAACCGGGGUCCCAACACAAAGGGCCCCGGGAUAUUAAAUUGAAAGAUUAAAUUGAAAGACUAAAUUGGAAUAUUAAAUUGGGAGAUUAAA